GACAGAGGGUGCAAACGUUGUUCGGAUUUACUGGGCGUAAAGCGCGUGUAGGCGGCCUUGCAAGUCGGAUGUGAAAGCCCACGGCUCAACCGUGGAAGUGCAUCCGAAACUGCAUAGCUUGAGUCUCGGAGAGGAAGGUGGAAUGCUUGGUGUAGAGGUGAAAUUCGUAGAUAUCAAGCAGAACACCUGCGGCGAAAGCGGCUUCCUGGUCCGAUACUGACACUCAUGGACGAAAGCGCGGGGAGCAAACAGG
RNAcentral lists this ribosomal RNA (253 nucleotides) under uncultured bacterium. RNAcentral describes it as "partial 16S ribosomal RNA". It matches the Rfam family "Bacterial small subunit ribosomal RNA", at positions 524 to 776 of the family's 1533-position model. The record is from RNAcentral.